RNAcentral lists this small RNA (16 nucleotides) under Arabidopsis thaliana (thale cress). RNAcentral describes it as "ATSL021620". The record is from RNAcentral. Lineage: Eukaryota; Viridiplantae; Streptophyta; Magnoliopsida; Brassicales; Brassicaceae.
AAAAAAAAGAGAGGGA